Etheostoma spectabile (orangethroat darter) is the source of this 146-nucleotide long non-coding RNA. RefSeq lists it as uncharacterized. The record is from RefSeq and is a predicted model, not a curated record. NCBI's taxonomy places the organism in Eukaryota, Metazoa, Chordata, Actinopteri, Perciformes, Percidae. The transcript is spliced from 3 exons.
UUUAAACAAAUAAAAAGUAAAUCAUUACCAACCUUCUUUUAUGAACAAAAUGAACAUUGAACUGAAUAUACAAAAGGCACCACUAAAAAAAAUAGAACGACAACUACAUUAUAAAGUGCAGUUUUGUACUCAUAUUUUCUUUCAAC